RNAcentral lists this ribosomal RNA (467 nucleotides) under uncultured bacterium. RNAcentral's name for it is "partial 16S ribosomal RNA". It matches the Rfam family "Bacterial small subunit ribosomal RNA", at positions 356 to 815 of the family's 1533-position model. The record is from RNAcentral.
UGGGAAUACUGCACAAUGGGCGCAAGCCUGAUGCAGCCAUGCCGCGUGUGUGAAGAAGGCCUUCGGGUUGUAAAGCACUUUCAGCGAGGAGGAAGGUGGUGAGCUUAAUACGCUCAUCAAUUGACGUUACUCGCAGAAGAAGCACCGGCUAACUCCGUGCCAGCAGCCGCGGUAAUACGGAGGGUGCAAGCGUUAAUCGGAAUUACUGGGCGUAAAGCGCACGCAGGCGGUUUGUUAAGUCAGAUGUGAAAUCCCCGGGCUCAACCUGGGAACUGCAUUUGAAACUGGCAAGCUAGAGUCUCGUAGAGGGGGGUAGAAUUCCAGGUGUAGCGGUGAAAUGCGUAGAGAUCUGGAGGAAUACCGGUGGCGAAGGCGGCCCCCUGGANGAAGACUGACGCUCAGGUGCGAAAGCGUGGGGAGCAAACAGAUUAGAUACCCUGGUAGUCCACGCUGUAAAACGAUGUCGA